GAUGAACGCUGGCGGCGUGCCUAAUACAUGCAAGUCGAGCGAACGGACGAGAAGCUUGCUUCUCUGAUGUUAGCGGCGGACGGGUGAGUAACACGUGGAUAACCUACCUAUAAGACUGGGAUAACUUCGGGAAACCGGAGCUAAUACCGGAUAAUAUUUUGAACCGCAUGGUUCAAAAGUGAAAGGCGGUCUUGCUGUCACUUAUAGAUGGAUCCGCGCUGCAUUAGCUAGUUGGUAAGGUAACGGCUUACCAAGGCAACGAUGCAUAGCCGACCUGAGAGGGUGAUCGGCCACACUGGAACUGAGACCCGGUCCAGACUCCUACGGGAGGCAGCAGUAGGGAAUCUUCCGCAAUGGGCGCAAGCCUGACGGAGCAACGCCGCGUGAGUGAUGAAGGUCUUCGGAUCGUAAAACUCUGUUAUUAGGGAAGAACAUAUGUGUAAGUAACUGUGCACAUCUUGACGGUACCUAAUCAGAAAGCCACGGCUAACUACGUG
RNAcentral lists this ribosomal RNA (497 nucleotides) under uncultured bacterium. RNAcentral describes it as "partial 16S ribosomal RNA". It matches the Rfam family "Bacterial small subunit ribosomal RNA", at positions 28 to 507 of the family's 1533-position model. The record is from RNAcentral.